RNAcentral lists this ribosomal RNA (443 nucleotides) under uncultured bacterium. RNAcentral's name for it is "partial 16S ribosomal RNA". It matches the Rfam family "Bacterial small subunit ribosomal RNA", at positions 338 to 795 of the family's 1533-position model. The record is from RNAcentral.
CCUACGGGUGACUGCAGUGGGGAAUAUUGGGCAAUGGGCGCAAGCCUGAACCAGCAACGCCGCGUGAAGGAAGAAGGCUCUCGGGUUGUAAACUUCUUUUAUCAGGGACGAAGCAAGUGACGGUACCUGAUGAAUAAGCCACGGCUAACUACGUGCCAGCAGCCGCGGUAAUACGUAGGUGGCAAGCGUUAUCCGGAUUUACUGGGUGUAAAGGGCGUGUAGGCGGGAAAGCAAGUCAGAUGUGAAAACCAUGGGCUCAACCUGUGGCCUGCAUUUGAAACGGUUUUUCUUGAGUACUGGAGAGGCAGACGGAAUUCCUAGUGUAGCGGUGAAAUGCGUAGAUAUUAGGAGGAACACCAGUGGCGAAGGCGGUCUGCUGGACAGCAACUGACGCUGAGGCGCGAAAGCGUGGGGAGCAAACAGGAUUAGAUACCCGGGUAGUC